AUUGAACGCUGGCGGCAUGCUUUACACAUGCAAGUCGAACGGUAACAGGCCGCAAGGUGCUGACGAGUGGCGAACGGGUGAGUAAUGCAUCGGAACGUGCCCAGUCGUGGGGGAUAACUACUCGAAAGAGUAGCUAAUACCGCAUACGAUCUAUGGAUGAAAGCGGGGGACCGUAAGGCCUCGCGCGAUUGGAGCGGCCGAUGUCAGAUUAGGUAGUUGGUGGGGUAAAGGCUCACCAAGCCAACGAUCUGUAGCUGGUCUGAGAGGACGACCAGCCACACUGGGACUGAGACACGGCCCAGACUCCUACGGGAGGCAGCAGUGGGGAAUUUUGGACAAUGGGCGCAAGCCUGAUCCAGCAAUGCCGCGUGCAGGAAGAGGCCUUCGGGUUGUAAACUGCUUUUGUACGGAACGAAACGGCUCUGGUUAAUACCCGGGGCUAAUGACGGUACCGUAAGAAUAAGCACCGGCUAACUACGUG
Molecule: ribosomal RNA, 481 nt
Filed under: uncultured bacterium
Lineage: Bacteria
Description: partial 16S ribosomal RNA
Rfam family: Bacterial small subunit ribosomal RNA
Source: RNAcentral